CCGUACACAAAAGCGCAUGUGCUGUGAGCUCGAUGAGUAGGGCGGGACACGUGGUAUCCUGUCUGAAUAUGGGGGGACCAUCCUCCAAGGCUAAAUACUCCUGACUGACCGAUAGUGAACCAGUACCGUGAGGGAAAGGCGAAAAGAACCCCGGCGAGGGGAGUGAAAAAGAACCUGAAACCGUGUACGUACAAGCAGUGGGAGCACCCUUCGGGGUGUGACUGCGUACCUUUUGUAUAAUGGGUCAGCGACUUAUAUUCUGUAGCAAGGUUAACCGUAUAGGGGAGCCGGAGGGAAACCGAGUCUUAACCGGGCGUUAAGUUGCAGGGUAUAGACCCGAAACCCGGUGAUCUAGCCAUGGGCAGGUUGAAGGUUGGGUAACACUAACUGGAGGACCGAACCGACUAAUGUUGAAAAAUUAGCGGAUGACCUGUGGCUGGGGGUGAAAGGCCAAUCAAACCGGGAGAUAGCUGGUUCUCCCCGAAAGCUAUUUAGGUAGCGCCUCGUGAAUUCAUCUCCGGGGGUAGAGCACUGUUUCGGCUAGGGGGCCAUCCCGGCUUACCAACCCGAUGCAAACUGCGAAUACCGGAGAAUGUUAUCACGGGAGACACACGGCGGGUGCUAACGUCCGUCGUGAAGAGGGAAACAACCCAGACCGCCAGCUAAGGUCCCAAAGUCAUGGUUAAGUGGGAAACGAUGUGGGAAGGCCCAGACAGCCAGGAUGUUGGCUUAGAAGCAGCCAUCAUUUAAAGAAAGCGUAAUAGCUCACUGGUCGAGUCGGCCUGCGCGGAAGAUGUAACGGGGCUAAACCAUGCACCGAAGCUGCGGCAGCGAACGUAUCACCCAAGACAACUUUACGGAGUUGACGAUUGACGGAGCGAAGCGACGUCAAAGCGUUCAUUAAAGUCGAGUUGGCUUAGGGAUACGUUCGUUGGGUAGGGGAGCGUUCUGUAAGCCUGUGAAGGUGUGUCGUGAGGCAUGCUGGAGGUAUCAGAAGUGCGAAUGCUGACAUAAGUAACGAUAAAGCGGGUGAAAAGCCCGCUCGCCGGAAGACCAAGGGUUCCUGUCCAACGUUAAUCGGGGCAGGGUGAGUCGACCCCUAAGGCGAGGCCGAAAGGCGUAGUCGAUGGGAAACGGGUUAAUAUUCCCGUACUUGGUGUUACUGCGAAGGGGGGACGGAGAAGGCUAUGUUGGCCGGGCGACGGUUGUCCCGGUUUAAGCGUGUAGGUGUGUGUUCCAGGUAAAUCCGGUUCACUUUAACACUGAGGCGUGACGACGAGGCACUACGGUGCUGAAGCAACAAAUGCCCUGCUUCCAGGAAAAGCCUCUAAGCAUCAGGUAACAUCAAAUCGUACCCCAAACCGACACAGGUGGUCAGGUAGAGAAUACCAAGGCGCUUGAGAGAACUCGGGUGAAGGAACUAGGCAAAAUGGUGCCGUAACUUCGGGAGAAGGCACGCUGACACGUAGGUGAAGUGAUUUACUCAUGGAGCUGAAGUCAGUCGAAGAUACCAGCUGGCUGCAACUGUUUAUUAAAAACACAGCACUGUGCAAACACGAAAGUGGACGUAUACGGUGUGACGCCUGCCCGGUGCCGGAAGGUUAAUUGAUGGGGUCAGCGCAAGCGAAGCUCCUGAUCGAAGCCCCGGUAAACGGCGGCCGUAACUAUAACGGUCCUAAGGUAGCGAAAUUCCUUGUCGGGUAAGUUCCGACCUGCACGAAUGGCGUAAUGAUGGCCAGGCUGUCUCCACCCGAGACUCAGUGAAAUUGAACUCGCUGUGAAGAUGCAGUGUACCCGCGGCAAGACGGAAAGACCCCGUGAACCUUUACUAUAGCUUGACACUGAACAUUGAGCCUUGAUGUGUAGGAUAGGUGGGAGGCUUUGAAGUGUGGACGCCAGUCUGCAUGGAGCCGACCUUGAAAUACCACCCUUUAAUGUUUGAUGUUCUAACGUGGACCCGUAAUCCGGGUUGCGGACAGUGUCUGGUGGGUAGUUUGACUGGGGCGGUCUCCUCCUAAAGAGUAACGGAGGAGCACGAAGGUUGGCUAAUCCUGGUCGGACAUCAGGAGGUUAGUGCAAUGGCAUAAGCCAGCUUGACUGCGAGCGUGACGGCGCGAGCAGGUGCGAAAGCAGGUCAUAGUGAUCCGGUGGUUCUGAAUGGAAGGGCCAUCGCUCAACGGAUAAAAGGUACUCCGGGGAUAACAGGCUGAUACCGCCCAAGAGUUCAUAUCGACGGCGGUGUUUGGCACCUCGAUGUCGGCUCAUCACAUCCUGGGGCUGAAGUAGGUCCCAAGGGUAUGGCUGUUCGCCAUUUAAAGUGGUACGCGAGCUGGGUUUAGAACGUCGUGAGACAGUUCGGUCCCUAUCUGCCGUGGGCGCUGGAGAACUGAGGGGGGCUGCUCCUAGUACGAGAGGACCGGAGUGGACGCAUCACUGGUGUUCGGGUUGUCAUGCCAAUGGCACUGCCCGGUAGCUAAAUGCGGAAGAGAUAAGUGCUGAAAGCAUCUAAGCACGAAACUUGCCCCGA
Molecule: ribosomal RNA, 2527 nt
Filed under: Salmonella enterica subsp. enterica serovar Typhimurium
Lineage: Bacteria; Pseudomonadati; Pseudomonadota; Gammaproteobacteria; Enterobacterales; Enterobacteriaceae
Description: partial 23S ribosomal RNA
Rfam family: Bacterial large subunit ribosomal RNA
Source: RNAcentral